CCUACGGAGGCAGCAAUUAGGAAUCUUGCGCAAUGGGGGCAACCCUGACGCAGCGACACAGUGUGGAGGAGGAAGGUCUACGGAUUGUAAACUCCUUUUAUGCGGGAAGAAUAGAUGACGGUACCUCAUGAAUACGCACCUGCUAACUACGUGCCAGAAGCAUCGGUGAUGCGUAGGGUGCGAACGUUAUCCGGAUUUAUUGGGCGUAUAGAGACGCGUAGGUGUUUUUGUAAGUCUUUAGUUAAAUACCACGGCUCAACCGUGGAGAAGCUUUGGAAACUACAAAAAUUGAGACAGGAAUGGGCGAAUGGAAUUCCCAGUGGAGCGGUGAAAUGCGUUGAUAUUGGGAGGAACAUCAGUGGCGAAGGCGAUUCGCUGGUCCUUGUCUGACACUAAGGCUCGAAAGCGUGGGGAGCGAAAC
Molecule: ribosomal RNA, 421 nt
Filed under: uncultured prokaryote
Description: bacterial SSU rRNA
Rfam family: Bacterial small subunit ribosomal RNA
Source: RNAcentral